Molecule: ribosomal RNA, 406 nt
Filed under: uncultured bacterium
Lineage: Bacteria
Description: partial 16S ribosomal RNA
Rfam family: Bacterial small subunit ribosomal RNA
Source: RNAcentral
AUUGAACGCUGGCGGCAGGCCUAACACAUGCAAGUCGAGCGAGCGGCGGACGGGUGAGUAAUGUCUGGGAAACUGCCUGAUGGAGGGGGAUAACUACUGGAAACGGUAGCUAAUACCGCAUACCAUCAGAUGUUCCCAGAUGGGAUUAGUGAGUAGGUGGGGUAAUGGCUCACCUAGGCGACGAACCCUAGCUGGUCUGAGAGGAUGACCAGCCACACUGGACCUGAGACACGGGCCAGACGCCUACGGGAGGAAGCAGUGGGGAAUAUUGCACAAUGGGCGCAAGCCUGAUGCAGCCAUGCCGCGUGUGUGAAGAAGGCCUUCGGGUUAUAAAGCACUUUCAGCGGGGAGGCGUUACCCGCAGAAGAAGCACCGGCUAACUCCGUGCCAGCAGCCGCGGUAAUUC